This 301-nucleotide unclassified non-coding RNA is filed under the name soil metagenome. RNAcentral's name for it is "partial contains 5.8S ribosomal RNA, internal transcribed spacer 2, and large subunit ribosomal RNA". The stretch from base 1 to 105 matches the Rfam family "5.8S ribosomal RNA", at positions 50 to 154 of the family's 154-position model. The record is from RNAcentral. RNAcentral also lists the same sequence under 1 other name.
GAAAUGCGAUACGUAAUGUGAAUUGCAGAUUUCAGUGAAUCAUCGAAUCUUUGAACGCACAUUGCGCCCGCCAGUAUUCUGGCGGGCAUGCCUGUUCGAGCGUCAUUUCAACCAUCAAGCCCCUGCGCUUGUGUUGGAGCCCUGCGGCUGCCGCAGGCUCCCAAACCCAGUGGCGGGCUCGUCGUCGUACCGAGUGCAGUAAACUUACCACGCUCAGGGCACGCGACGGGUGACCGGCCGUAAAACCCCCCACUUUCUCAAGGUUGACCUCGGAUCAGGUAGGAAUACCCGCUGAACUUAA